RNAcentral lists this ribosomal RNA (230 nucleotides) under Escherichia coli. Its description in RNAcentral is "partial 16S ribosomal RNA". It matches the Rfam family "Bacterial small subunit ribosomal RNA", at positions 1 to 227 of the family's 1533-position model. The record is from RNAcentral. Lineage: Bacteria; Pseudomonadati; Pseudomonadota; Gammaproteobacteria; Enterobacterales; Enterobacteriaceae.
AAAUUGAAGAGUUUGAUCAUGGCUCAGAUUGAACGCUGGCGGCAGGCCUAACACAUGCAAGUCGAACGGUAACAGAAAGCAGCUUGCUGCUUUGCUGACGAGUGGCGGACGGGUGAGUAAUGUCUGGGAAACUGCCUGAUGGAGGGGGAUAACUACUGGAAACGGUAGCUAAUACCGCAUAACGUCGCAAGACCAAAGAGGGGGACCUUAGGGCCUCUUGCCAUCGGAUG